This 1387-nucleotide ribosomal RNA is filed under the name metagenome. RNAcentral's name for it is "SSU rRNA". It matches the Rfam family "Eukaryotic small subunit ribosomal RNA", at positions 20 to 1371 of the family's 1831-position model. The record is from RNAcentral.
GUAGUGAUAUGCUUGUUUCAAAGAUUAAGCCAUGCAUGUCUAAGUAUAAGCGAACUUAUACAGUGAAACUGCGGAUGGCUCAUUAAAACAGUUUGAAUUUAUUUGAUGAAUGUAUGAGAAUACUACUUGGAUAACCGUAGCAAUUCUAGAGCUAAUACAUGCAACGACGCCCGACCGUUUCACUACGGAAGGGCUGUAUUUAUUGGAUACCAAAACCAUCCUUCCCUCGGGAAGUUUUGUUUGAUGAUUCACAAUAACUGAUCGGAUCGCCACUGUGGUGGCGACAGGUCAUUCAACAUUCUGCCCUAUCAGCUUUCGAUGGUUGUGUAGUGGACAACCAUGGCCAUAACGGGUAACGGAGAAUCAGGGUUCGAUUCCGGAGAAGGAGCUUGAGAAUUGGCUACUACAUCUAAGGAAGGCAGCAGGCGCGCAAAUUACCCAAUCCCGAUUCGGGGAGGUAGUGACAAAAAAUAACAAUACCGGGCCUUUUUGGGCUUGGUAAUUGGAAUGAGGGAGAGUUAAACGGACCAUCGAGUAUCCAUUGGAGGGCAAGUCUGGUGCCAGCAGCUGCGGUAAUACCAGCUCCAAUAGCGUAUAUUAAAGUUGUUGCAGUUAAAAAGCUCGUAGUUGGACUUGUGUGCGCAGUCCGCGGGUGGCCUGCGCCCAAAAGGGCGUUUCGGUUCGGCCCCGGUGGCGCCUUGAAAUCUGCAGCUGGGGGGACGUUGGCCUUAACUGGUCGGCGACCGCACGCCGGCUGCUCGGUUACUGUGAGAAAAUUAGAGUGUUCAAGGCAGGCAUUGGGUGCAAUUGAAUACAUUAGCAUGGAAUAAUAAAAUAUGGCUCCUGCCGUAUUUUGUUGGUUUUGACUGGUGGGAGUAAUGAUUGAUAGGGACGGUUGGGGGUGCUAGUAUUGAGCGGCCAGAGGUGAAAUUCAUGGAUUCGCUCAAGACUAACUUAUGCGAAAGCAUUCACCAAGGACGUCCUCUUUAAUCAAGAACGAAAGUUGGGGGAUCGAAGACGAUCAGAUACCGUCGUAGUCUCAACCAUAAACUAUGUCGACUUGGGAUCGGCGGUAGUUUUUUCAUUAAGACACUGUCGGGACCACGGGAGAAAUCAAAGUGUCUGGACUCUGGGGGAAGUAUGGUCGCAAGGCUGAAACUUGAAGGAAUUGACGGAAGGGCACCACCAGGAGUGGAGCCUGCGGCUUAAUUUGACCCAACACGGGGAAACUUACCAGGUCCAGAGAUGUAGAGGAUUGACAGAUUGAAGCUCUUUCUUGAUCACUUCGGUGGUGGUGCAUGGCCGUUCUUAGUUGGUGGAGUGAUUUGUCUGGUUAAUUCCGUUAACGAACGAGACCUCAGCCUGCUAGUGUAGUCGGCUGGAUUGC